RNAcentral lists this ribosomal RNA (508 nucleotides) under uncultured bacterium. Its description in RNAcentral is "partial 16S ribosomal RNA". It matches the Rfam family "Bacterial small subunit ribosomal RNA", at positions 30 to 523 of the family's 1533-position model. The record is from RNAcentral.
AUUGAGCGCUGGCGGCAUGCCUUACACAUGCAAGUCGAACGGCAGCGGGGGAGAAGCUUGCUUUUCCUGCCGGCGAGUGGCGAACGGGUGAGUAAUACAUCGGAACGUGCCCUGUAGUGGGGGAUAACUAGUCGAAAGAUUAGCUAAUACCGCAUACGACCUGAGGGUGAAAGUGGGGGACCGCAAGGCCUCAUGCUAUAGGAGCGGCCGAUGUCUGAUUAGCUAGUUGGUGGGGUAAAGGCCUACCAAGGCGACGAUCAGUAGCUGGUCUGAGAGGACGAUCAGCCACACUGGGACUGGGACACGGCCCAGACUCCUGCGGGAGGCAGCAGUGGGGAAUUUUGGACAAUGGGCGAAAGCCUGAUCCAGCAAUGCCGCGUGUGUGAAGAAGGCCUUCGGGUUGUAAAGCACUUUUGUCCGGAAAGAAAUGGCUCUGGUUAAUACCUGGGGUCGAUGACGGUACCGGAAGAAUAAGGACCGGCUAACUACGUGCCAGCAGCCGCAGUAA